This is a long non-coding RNA of Syngnathus acus (greater pipefish), 3751 nucleotides long. RefSeq lists it as uncharacterized. The record is from RefSeq and is a predicted model, not a curated record. The transcript is spliced from 4 exons. NCBI's taxonomy places the organism in Eukaryota, Metazoa, Chordata, Actinopteri, Syngnathiformes, Syngnathidae.
GAGGAGGUGGUGCGAAUGCGGCACGACGUCAAGCAUGUCUCUGGACGACAAACACUUCAGCUGACAGCUCUGUUGGAGGCCGAGCGACGCAGAGGACCCGUCAUGGCCGCCGGCACAAUCUCAAGUGAGGAUCUGAUCUGCGCCGUUGUGGGAGUGAACACAGACUGAGCACAAAAUGGUGAAAACGUGAAUCGUUCAGAGAAUAAUGGAAAAAAAUCUGUGCACCGGGAAGAGCUUCAGAAAAAUCCCAGACGUCCGCACUGCAGGUCCCCGGGACCAGCCGCGAGGCUCCCUCUCGUCACGGCGGACACCCGAGGAGCCGGCCAGCAGGAUUAGCUGUUGGCGUGCCUUUAGCAACAGCUAAUGGCGAGAUAGAAGUUAAGAGACAUUUUUCUGUGCCCAGCUCACACGAUGACUCUGGAAUCGUCUGUCAUAUUUUCUUAUUGCCCCCCCCCCACACACUUCACUUGAGGCACACUUUUCCACAUUUUCUCACCUACUUUCUUCACUCAUAUAAAAGAGCUAAAACUGUGAUUUUCACACUCUCUUCUCAGUUGGACUCACCAAAAGAGAUUUCUUUCUUUCACCGUUCCCCCACUGGUAUUACACGUCCAUCCCUCCCUGUCUCUUUUAGUCCAAUACAGGUGUGACCUAACCCCCACUUACAAUCCCCCCCCCCCCCCCAUCCAGAUGAAAGGCUUCCCACCGCUACCCUCAGUUCACCCCCACACGCCGCCCGAGGGGACAACUCGGAUAUCGGGUGGAGACGCAGGUUUCUGGGAGGGGAUCAAGUUCCCCUUCUUGAAACGUAAUAGUACAGCGUCACCCCAGGCUACAAUGGAUGGAAACAAUAAAUGACACAGUUGUCUUGCAUUCACACGUACAGUAAGAGGAGCCUCGUAGGCUUUUCAGCGAGACUAUUGUCACCGGUGAUGACUUAGAAUAAUUGAUAAGCUUUGCUUGUGAUCUUAACGCUUGAUUGAUUUGAUCUUAUAGUAAUUUCAUUGCCAAGUUGCUACUAUAUGCACUGGCGGAGUUAGAUGGGGGGGGGCAAAGGGGCACUGCCCCCCAGAAAUAUUGCUUGGACCCUCAAAGUGCCAGCCAGGCCAGAUAAUUGACGUUUUGGGUGUUGAACGGGAUACUGUACGUGAAAGCGAAUUUUAAAUGAGAUAUACUGUGCUUUUUUUUUUUUUUUCAUAAUUUGAAGCCAUUGCUAAAUGUUAUGACAACCUUUCUAUCUGUCAAAAUACAAUCAAGAAAUAUAUCACAAAUCUACAUCAUCGUUGGAUUUUGAUGAAGAAAUAUUUUAUUUUUCGGACAUCCCGCUACUUAGAUAUUCAUUCUCUAAAUGAUGUCAAUUUUUUGGGUACACCUUUCAAAUUGAAGUGCAAUUAAUGAUUACGAUUAAUCUCUGGUAUUAGCGUCGACCUCAGAUAAUGAGCAUUCAAAAUCCAUGACAUUAAAGCAUAAUCCCUCAAAUUGAGAAAUGUGACCAGAAUAUAACUUUAACAUGAGCAUUUUUUUUUUCUUUUUCAACAGCACCAUUAUGAUGAUGAGUCCGGGAGUUGCCUAAGCAACAAUAAUAAGUGAUGGUGUUAGUGGAGAUCCUACUGCGAGGUAUUAAAAUGUGCACGUCCCUCUGUCUGUUCCCACUUCCCCCGCGGUGUUUAUCCUCCUAGCCGCUAUGACAGGUCAGUUAAUAUUGACAUUAUCUCCCUCUGCCACAAUGACGGCUCAAGCUGCAGGAAGCCACUCAUUAACUGCGCCCCAGCAUGUACGGGGUGUGUGCUUCAGAGGUUCUGAGUGUGUGUGCGCACCUAGAGUCAUGUUGAUUACUAGGACGGAAAUCAUUAGCCAGGUCUAACAUGUGUUAAAGAGAUGAUGGACGGCUCAGAUGUUUAUCUCAGCGAGAAGAACAGAUUGGUGCCAUUGCUCACGGUGCUCGCUUUGGAGGUCGAAAAUUGAAGCGUAAAGGAUGAGUCGGGGGGGGGCAACAAAUUAGGAAAUUUGAAAGCGAGCAUUUAAAAAUAAUAUUCUGCUUUGGCGAAAGAUGGCUUUACCUGCAUUUUGCAGCAAAAGCAAAGUCAAGAAUUCAUUUUGAAGUUUCUCCAACUCAAGGUUUUUUUUAGUCCAAAAAAAAAUAAUAUAUAUAUAUAUAUAUAUAUUUUAUAUCCGACCAUUAGAAGUGGAAACACGAAAAAAUGGUUAAAUUAUGUGUUUGAAAAUUUUGGGUGGAUUUUUUUUUUUUUGGGGGUGAGCCACUCCGUGAUUGAGAGUAGAAAAUGUAGCAGUAAUUGCAGUGGCUACACAAGUAAUAGGAAGCUAAAUUGGCUUCGGAAUUAGACCCUGCCAGCUAUCAGCCCCGGGUGCUACGAAUGCAUGUGUGUGUGUGUGUCUGUGUGUGUGUGUAGUAUAUGCACAUAAUAUAUUAUAAAAUAAGACUGCAUUUUUAUUUAUUUUUGGCUAAUAUUUCUUUGCCAAUUAUUUUAUGUUGUAAACAAACCUAACCAAAGUCACUGUGUUUCCCUCCAUGUUCCUCCAUGUUCUUGUAUGUUCUUCUCGAGAUUUGCAGUUAAGGGUUCCAGGAUGAGAUAGCUAACGGCAGUCUGCCCAAACAAUUCGUAAGCGACUGCCCGGGGCCAAUCUCAGGAGACCUGCUAUGACUGUAUUGGGGUUAGGAACGUUCUGUUCAGUGAUGAGUACAGAUUCUGCCUCGGGCGAUUGAAUCGUAGGGUUAAAGUGUAGAGAGGACGCUAUGCAGAUUCAUCCACCAACAGAGUUCGAUCGAGGCACGAUGAGUUUGGGAUGGUAUCUCCCUCACUGGAAUAAGAAGCCUUAAUUGUCAUCAUUGGAGAUGUCAAUACAGAGUCUUCUGAGUUUGCUCAUGUGACCUCUGCAAGAUAAGCCCAGUGCAACAGUGAUGUCAAAAUGGCCGCCCCUUGAGAUGGAUCAAAACAGCUUGUUUACAGACACCGUUUGCUACGUAUUUUGAUCUUUUGCACUUUUGGAAUACAAUACCUAAGAAACUGCUGAGGUUUGAGAUCCAAGAAUGAAUAGCCAAAUAGCACGAUAGCUACUUUAUUGCAGAAAACAGCGCUUUGAGAGUCUAUAGUGUGAAAUGAACAUGUGCGUAAAAAGCAAUAGAUGAGGUGAAGGUGCUUAAAGUGAGUAUGUUGGGCACAGCUUGACAAGCGGGAAGACUAUUUGGCCAAUCAGGGGAUGGGAAGUCUAUCAGGAUUUAUAGGGAAAAUAAAAGAUAAGGUCACUGUGUUGUAAGCUUUAAUAUUAAUGUGCUAUUUAAUGACCCUUGCAGUGUUGGAAAGUAGCUUUUUGCGAAGAGUAAGAUACAGCUGCAGGCUUUUAUUUGAGGUGCUGCUGCUCCAGCGGUGUUUCACAAAAUCUGUUUUUGGUGGAUUACAUGAAUCUUUUUCAAAACAGGACAAGGAGAAUGAGACAGUCGUCGUGCUGCUCAUCUCAUGGUACGCCCUGUCUACAUCAUGAUGGUGCCCCUUGUGAUGAGGAGCAUAAUGCGUAAUCACGAAGCUAAUUACAACACACUCCAAAAAAGCACAUGAAAUCAUGUUUUUGGAGCGAGCAUCAUCACCAAGUCCUGAGAGACUCGAAGCUCAUUGGUGUCAACAUCAGUGGAAUGGAUCUUGAUUGCUUUAUUUCAGAUGGCGCCUUAUUUGGCUUUCAAACUAAACUACAGUGAUCCCUCGCUACUUCGCUUUUCGUUUAUCGCGGCUUCCCU